CCUACGGGGUGCAGCAGUGGGGAAUAUUGGACAAUGGGCGAAAGCCUGAUCCAGCCAUGCCGCGUGUGUGAAGAAGGCCUUCGGGUUGUAAAGCACUUUCAGUGGGGAAGAAAGCCUUGGGGCUAAUACCCUCGAGGAAGGACAUCACCCACAGAAGAAGCACCGGCUAACUCCGUGCCAGCAGCCGCGGUAAUACGGAGGGUGCGAGCGUUAAUCGGAAUUACUGGGCGUAAAGCGCGCGUAGGCGGUCUGAUAAGCCGGUUGUGAAAGCCCCGGGCUCAACCUGGGAACGGCAUCCGGAACUGUCAGGCUAGAGUGCAGGAGAGGAAGGUAGAAUUCCCGGUGUAGCGGUGAAAUGCGUAGAGAUCGGGAGGAAUACCAGUGGCGAAGGCGGCCUUCUGGACUGACACUGACGCUGAGGUGCGAAAGCGUGGGUAGCAAACAGGAUUAGAUACUCCUGUAGUC
This 465-nucleotide ribosomal RNA is filed under the name Vreelandella stevensii. Its description in RNAcentral is "partial 16S ribosomal RNA". It matches the Rfam family "Bacterial small subunit ribosomal RNA", at positions 338 to 795 of the family's 1533-position model. The record is from RNAcentral. Lineage: Bacteria; Pseudomonadati; Pseudomonadota; Gammaproteobacteria; Oceanospirillales; Halomonadaceae.